Molecule: ribosomal RNA, 108 nt
Filed under: Acanthamoeba sp. isolate A20P20
Lineage: Eukaryota; Discosea; Longamoebia; Acanthamoebidae
Description: partial 18S ribosomal RNA
Source: RNAcentral
AGGAGACGUUGAAUACAAAACACCACCAUGCGCAUUGCGGUCGUCUUUGGUGUGUCGCUCACAAGGCGGCAUCAUCGGGACGGCUUAGCUCGCAUGGCACCGGUGAAU